UGUGCUUCGCACGGGCGCGAGGACCCCAGCCCGUCCGUCAGGACCGUUACUCGCCAACCGGCCGCGUCGCGUGCUGGGCGGGAGCCAACCGCCACUGGGGGCGGGGGGGGGGCGCGUUGAGAAGACCUCUUCGACCCCCGGGAGGCGGAGGGGGGUUUGCUUCUUUGCGCGAGAGCGGGGAUCCGGCCCAGGGUGGCGGCGGCGGCGGCGGCCACCCCCGCGACCACAGCGGCGCAGGCAACGGCAGAGCCCGUCGCUGCCGGAGGAGGGAGGUGCGGCGGCAGGAGGUCCGCCGAGGGGCCGGUCGCGGCCUGUCUGCGGAGCAGCUGCCUGUGUCGGAGCUGCCUCGGAAGGAGUCCGGGCUGGGAGGCCGCAAACGCAGGUCGGCCGCGGGGAGCUCCGCAGCUGCUCUGGCCUGGCCCGGCCUGUGCCGAGCCGCGUCUCUCUCGAGGCGGUGGCGUGAUUGUUCCGGGCCCCGGUGACGAUGUCGGCGGGAAGGCGCGAGAGGAGCCGGCGGGGCAGGACGGGCGAGAGGCUUUGCUGGGCCGCGGGGCGUCGUUGGGAAUGGUCUCAGGAAGCUCCUAAUGGCGCCAGAAAAUGGAAUAAUCAAAUCAGAUAAGGUAUUUGAAGUAAUGCUUACCACAGACCGUUGCCAUUAUGCAAAAUGCAACCCCUAUAUGGACUCUCCUCAGUCAAUAGGAUUCCAAGCAACAAUCAGUGCUCCACAUAUGCAUGCAUAUGCUCUAGAACUUCUAUAUGACCAGUUACAUGAAGGUGGCAAAGCCCUUGAUGUAGGUUCGGGAAGUGGAAUUCUUACUGCCUGCUUUGCACGGAUGGUUGGUCCCAAAGGACAAGUUGUAGGAAUUGAUCAUAUCAAAGAGUUGGUAGAUGACUCAAUAAACAAUGUCAGAAAAGAUGAUCCUUCAUUGCAGUCUUCAGGAAGAGUGAAGCUGGUUGUUGGGGAUGGAAGAAUGGGUUAUCCAGAUGAAGCUCCAUAUGAUGCUAUUCAUGUAGGAGCUGCUGCUCCAGUUGUGCCCCAAGCUCUUAUAGAUCAGUUGAAGCCUGGUGGAAGGCUAAUAUUACCUGUUGGACCUGCUGGAGGAAACCAGAUGCUGGAACAGUACGAUAAGCUAGAAGAUGGCAGUGUCAAAAUGAAGCCUCUGAUGGGAGUGAUAUAUGUGCCUUUAACAGAUAAGGAGAGAAGCAGCAAUUAAGGUGGGAAGGUGAUUUUCUGUCUCGAAUUUCUUCCUCUCCACAAUACACUUAGCAUUUCUAUACAAGGGAUGAAUUGUAAAUGCUACAUCAUCUGACCCAAACAUAGUGUUAACAGUGGAUUGCUCAUCUCCAAUUCUUAAAAAGCUUUUUCAAAACAAACGGCAUUGCAGCUUGUUUUGGACUUUGUUACACUGUUAUCAGCAUGGAAAAGUGUGUUGUUCUUUAAUUUUAUUUUGUAGUUGUUUAAUGCAGCUUUGGUAAACAACUGAUGAAAACUCUGGAUUUUGGUAAUAUUACUUUUCAACACCCCCUUACUGUCACCUGUUUGAUGAAUUGAAGGGUAUCUCCAAAUAGUCCUCCAAUUGGCUAUCUUUGUAUUUUUAGUGAGAGACAUUUUUGAACACUUGUUUCAGCUCCAGUGUUCCUCCAACCAGCUGCUUAUCUGCACUUUCUGACACUACAUGCACACUCAAAGAUUCUUUGUGUUCAGCUGGCUCUUAGAUGCUAUUAAAAUGUGAUGAAUUUCCUCCUCAAAGCUUUCAAUGUGGUGUCAUAGAACUAGCAUGUAGUAUACACAAUCAGCUUCUUUAAAAACAGAUGUGUAUAUAAACUUUCAGGGCAACAGAAGUGACAGUUCUUGAUGUAUAGCCUGCUGUUCAGGAUGGACAUAACUGACAUAGUUUUCCUCUCCCUUAACUUUUAGACUAAUUUAGAGAUUCAUAGUUCAGUAUUGUUUUCUAGCUGACUUGCAGAACUGAUGUGUCGGAAUUUAAUAUAAUAAAUACUGUGUAAGCUAUGUCCUAAUCAUUGAACAGAUUAUGCAGUGCUGCUUUGCCAAAUAAAAUUACGCAAAACAAAAA
Molecule: RNA transcript, 2075 nt
Organism: Sphaerodactylus townsendi
Lineage: Eukaryota; Metazoa; Chordata; Lepidosauria; Squamata; Sphaerodactylidae
Gene: PCMT1
Gene name: protein-L-isoaspartate (D-aspartate) O-methyltransferase
Exons: 8
Source: RefSeq, a predicted model, not a curated record